Molecule: ribosomal RNA, 1195 nt
Filed under: uncultured delta proteobacterium
Lineage: Bacteria; Deltaproteobacteria
Description: bacterial SSU rRNA
Rfam family: Bacterial small subunit ribosomal RNA
Source: RNAcentral
UAGCUUGUUGGUGGGGUAAUGGCCUACCAAGGCUACGAUGGUUAGCUGGUCUGAGAGGAUGACCAGCCACACUGGAACUGAGACACGGUCCAGACUCCUACGGGAGGCAGCAGUGAGGAAUAUUGCGCAAUGGGGGAAACCCUGACGCAGUGACGCCGCGUGAGUGAUGAAGGCUUUCGAGUCGUAAAGCUCUGUUAGGUGGAAAGAAACAUUCCAACGCUAAUAUCGUUGGGACUUGACGGUACCACCAGAGGAAGCACCGGCUAACUCCGUGCCAGCAGCCGCGGUAAUACGGAGGGUGCAAGCGUUGUUCGGAAUUACUGGGCGUAAAGGGCGUGUAGGCGGUUAGGCAAGUCAGGUGUGAAAUCCCUUGGCUCAACCAAGGAAGUGCGCUUGAAACUGCUUAACUAGAGUACAGGAGGGGAAAGUGGAAUUCCCAGUGUAGAGGUGAAAUUCAUAGAUAUUGGGAGGAACACCGGUAGCGAAGGCGGCUUUCUGGCCUGAUACUGACGCUGAGACGCGAAAGCGUGGGGAGCAAACAGGAUUAGAUACCCUGGUAGUCCACGCCGUAAACGAUGUGCACUAGGUGUAGGAAGUGUUGACCCUUUCUGUGGCCGAAGCUAACGCAUUAAGUGCACCGCCUGGGGAUGUACGGUCGCAAGGCUAAAACUCAAAGGAAUUGACGGGGGCCCGCACAAGCGGAGGAGCAUGUGGUUUAAUUCGAUGAUACGCGAAAAACCUUACCUGGGCUUGAAUGCUGGACGAUUAAUCGGGAAACCGAGGAUUCUUCGGGUGUACAGCAAGGUGCUGCAUGGCUGUCGUCAGCUCGUGCCGUGAGAUGUUGGGUUAAGUCCCGCAACGAGCGCAACCCUCGCUUUUAGUUGCCAGCAUUUAGUUCCGGGGACUCUAAUGGAACUGCCCCGGUAAACCGGGAGGAAGGUGGGGAUGACGUCAAGUCAGCACGGCCCUUAUGUCCAGGGCUACACACGUGUUACAAUGGUCGGUACAAAGGGCAGCUACCUGGUGACAGGAUGCUAAUCUCGAAAACCGAUCUCAGUUCGGAUCGAAGUCUGCAACUCGACUUCGUGAAGCUGGAUUCGCUAGUAAUCGCAUAUCAGCCAUGAUGCGGUGAAUACGUUCCCGGGCCUUGUACACACCGCCCGUCAAGCCAUGGAAGCUGGGGGUACCUGAAGUC